Molecule: long non-coding RNA, 506 nt
Filed under: Eutrema salsugineum
Lineage: Eukaryota; Viridiplantae; Streptophyta; Magnoliopsida; Brassicales; Brassicaceae
Description: long non-coding RNA (ESAL_LNC001861)
Source: RNAcentral
GAUAAGUAACACAGUGACAGCAGUCGUGGUGCCUCCGAAUAUAGACAGUACGGAGAUUGUGAAAAGGGCAUGGAAGAGAUACAACCUAAGUCUUGGUCUUGGUCUCAACAAAGUGGCUGGAAAGGUUUUCAGAAUUGGUCACCUUGGAAACCUUAAUGAGGUACGUUUCUGUAUUUGUAAUCCAACUAUUUAAUUAAUUAAAUUUUAAUCAACAUUACAACAUAAAACGCAGUUGCAACUUCUUGGGUGUUUGGCUGGAGUGGAGAUGAUACUAAAGGAUGUUGGGUACCCAGUUGUUUUGGGAAGUGGAGUUGCAGCUGCUUCUACUUAUCUUCAGCACCACAUUCCUCUCAUUCCCUCUAGGAUCUAAAUCACAUCCCCAUUUCUCUGUUCUCUCUCUCUCUCUCUCUUUCUCUCUCAAUGUAAAAUCACUCUACUAUUUUCUCUUUUCUCCAAUUAUAUUUUACUACAUUAUCUAUGUUUUUAUGUGCUAUUCUCAACAAACU